This 850-nucleotide ribosomal RNA is filed under the name uncultured bacterium. Its description in RNAcentral is "bacterial SSU rRNA". It matches the Rfam family "Bacterial small subunit ribosomal RNA", at positions 643 to 1502 of the family's 1533-position model. The record is from RNAcentral.
AGAGUGCAGGAGAGGAUCGUGGAAUUCCAUGUGUAGCGGUGAAAUGCGUAGAUAUAUGGAGGAACACCAGUGGCGAAGGCGACGAUCUGGACUGCAACUGACGCUCAGUCCCGAAAGCGUGGGGAGCAAAUAGGAUUAGAUACCCUAGUAGUCCACGCCGUAAACGAUGAGUACUAAGUGUUGGGGGAAUAACUCAGUGCUGCAGUUAACGCAAUAAGUUCUCCGCCUGGGGAGUAUGCGCGCAAGUGUGAAACUCAAAGGAAUUGACGGGGGCCCGCACAAGCGGUGGAGUAUGUGGUUUAAUUCGAAGCAACGCGAAGAACCUUACCAGGCCUUGACAUCCCCGGCGAAGACAUGGAGACAUGUUGGAGGUUAACCGGGAGACAGGUGGUGCAUGGUUGUCGUCAGCUCGUGUCGUGAGAUGUUGGGUUAAGUCCCGCAACGAGCGCAACCCUUGUGAUAUGUUACUAACAGUAAGAUGAGGACUCAUAUCAGACUGCCGGUGACAAACCGGAGGAAGGUGGGGAUGACGUCAAAUCAUCAUGCCCCUUAUGGCCUGGGCUACACACGUACUACAAUGGCGGCUACAAAGAGCGGCGAACCCGCGAGGGGGAGCGAAUCUCAUAAAGGUCGUCUCAGUUCGGAUUGAAGUCUGCAACCCGACUUCAUGAAGUUGGAAUCGCUAGUAAUCGCGAAUCAGCAUGUCGCGGUGAAUACGUUCUCGGGCCUUGUACACACCGCCCGUCAAACCAUGGGAGUUGGUAAUACCCGAAGCCGGUGGCAUAACCGCAAGGAGUGAACCGUCGAGGGUAGGAUCGAUGACUGGGGUUAAGUCGUAACAAGGUAACCA